UCCCUCGCGGGUGCACCGCCGA
This 22-nucleotide small nuclear RNA is filed under the name Arabidopsis thaliana (thale cress). Its description in RNAcentral is "snRNA_04895". Lineage: Eukaryota; Viridiplantae; Streptophyta; Magnoliopsida; Brassicales; Brassicaceae. The record is from RNAcentral.